This 301-nucleotide ribosomal RNA is filed under the name uncultured bacterium. RNAcentral's name for it is "partial 16S ribosomal RNA". It matches the Rfam family "Bacterial small subunit ribosomal RNA", at positions 509 to 809 of the family's 1533-position model. The record is from RNAcentral.
CAGUAGCCGCGGGAAUACGGAGGGGGCUAGCGUUGUUCGGAAUUACUGGGCGUAAAGCGUACGUAGGCGGCUUUGUAAGUUAGAGGUGAAAGCCUGGUGCUCAACACCAGAACUGCCUUUAAGACUGCAUCGCUUGAACGUCGGAGAGGUGAGUGGAAUUCCGAGUGUAGAGGUGAAAUUCGUAGAUAUUCGGAAGAACACCAGUGGCGAAGGCGGCUCACUGGACGACUGUUGACGCUGAGGUACGAAAGCGUGGGGAGCAAACAGGAUUAGAUACCCCCGUAGUCCCUGUCUCUUAUAA